This 178-nucleotide microRNA precursor is filed under the name Oryza barthii. Its description in RNAcentral is "MIR812 microRNA precursor family". It matches the Rfam family "MIR812 microRNA precursor family". Lineage: Eukaryota; Viridiplantae; Streptophyta; Magnoliopsida; Poales; Poaceae. The record is from Rfam by way of RNAcentral.
AACAAGUGUAGCACUACGUUUAACCAUUUGUCUUAUUUGAAAUCUUUUUAUGAUUAAUUUUUUUUAUUGUUAAUAGAUGAUAAUACAUGAAUAAUACUUUGUGUGUAACAUUUUUUUUAAUUUUUUUCAUAAGUUUUUAAAUAAGUUGGACGGUCAAACGUUGGAUACAGGUACUCAU